UACGGAGGAGGCAAGCGUUAUCCGGAAUUAUUGGGCGUAAAGCGUCCGUAGGUGGUUUUGUCAGUCUGCUGUCAAAGUGCGGGGCUUAACCCUGUAAAGGCAGUGGAAACUACAAGACUAGAGUGCAGUAGGGGCAGAGGGAAUUCCCAGUGUAGCGGUGAAAUGCGUAGAGAUUGGGAAGAACAUCCGUGGCGAAAGCGCUCUGCUGGACUGCAACUGACAUUGAGGGACGAAAGCUAGGGGAGCGAACAGG
Molecule: ribosomal RNA, 253 nt
Filed under: uncultured bacterium
Lineage: Bacteria
Description: partial 16S ribosomal RNA
Rfam family: Bacterial small subunit ribosomal RNA
Source: RNAcentral